RNAcentral lists this microRNA precursor (184 nucleotides) under Oryza barthii. RNAcentral's name for it is "MIR812 microRNA precursor family". It matches the Rfam family "MIR812 microRNA precursor family". Lineage: Eukaryota; Viridiplantae; Streptophyta; Magnoliopsida; Poales; Poaceae. The record is from Rfam by way of RNAcentral.
AAAAAGACAAAACAUAGGUUUCUGUGCCAACGUUUAACUGUCCGUCUUAUUUUCAUUGUUGUUAGAUGAUAAAAUAUGAUUAAUACUUUAUACGUGACUUAUCUUUUUUUAAUUUUUUUCAUAGUUUUUUCAAAUAAGACGGACGGUCAAACGUUGGACACGGAUUUCCACUGCUGCACUUAUU